GAACCGUCCAAACGUUAUUCGGAAUCAUUGGGCUUAAAGGGUGCGUAGGCGGUGUGGUCAGUUGGGUGUGAAAUCCCUCGGCUCAACCGAGGAACUGCGCCCAAUACUGCCACACUCGAGGGAGACAGAGGUAAGCGGAACUGAUGGUGGAGCGGUGAAAUGCGUUGAUAUCAUCAGGAACACCAGUGGCGAAGGCGGCUUACUGGGUCUCUUCUGACGCUGAGGCACGAAAGCUAGGGGGGGAGCGAACGGGAUUAGAUACCCCGGUAGUCCUAGCUGUAAACGAUGAGCACUUGAUCGGAGACUCCCUCCAUAGGUUUCCGGUCGUAGCGAAAGUGUUAAGUGCUCCGCCUGGGAGUAUGGUCGCAAGGCUG
This 374-nucleotide ribosomal RNA is filed under the name uncultured organism. RNAcentral's name for it is "partial 16S ribosomal RNA". It matches the Rfam family "Bacterial small subunit ribosomal RNA", at positions 527 to 896 of the family's 1533-position model. The record is from RNAcentral.